RNAcentral lists this unclassified non-coding RNA (378 nucleotides) under plant metagenome. Its description in RNAcentral is "partial contains 5.8S ribosomal RNA, internal transcribed spacer 2, and large subunit ribosomal RNA". The stretch from base 1 to 105 matches the Rfam family "5.8S ribosomal RNA", at positions 50 to 154 of the family's 154-position model. The record is from RNAcentral.
GAAAUGCGAUAAGUAAUGUGAAUUGCAGAAUUCAGUGAAUCAUCGAAUCUUUGAACGCAUCUUGCGCUCCUUGGUAUUCCUUGGAGCAUGCCUGUUUGAGUAUCAUGAAAUCUUCAAAGUAAAUCUUUUGUUAACUCAAUUGGUUUCUACUUUGGUAUUGGAGGUCUUUGCAGCUUCACACCUGCUCCUCUUUGUUCAUUAGCUGGAUCUCAGUGUUAUGCUUGGUUCCACUCGGCGUGAUAAGUUAUCUAUCGCUGAGGACACUGUAAAAGGUGGCCAAGGUAAAUGCAGAUGAACCGCUUCUAAUAGUCCAUUGACUUGGACAAUACUUUUAUGAUCUGAUCUCAAAUCAUGUAGGACUACCCGCUGAACUUAAGC